This 111-nucleotide small RNA is filed under the name Enterococcus cecorum. RNAcentral's name for it is "DUF3800-I RNA". It matches the Rfam family "DUF3800-I RNA". From Rfam's summary of the family: Actinobacteria, Firmicutes, Fusobacteria, Proteobacteria (1 example), Tenericutes (2 examples). Terminator (Clostridia) The record is from RNAcentral. Lineage: Bacteria; Bacillati; Bacillota; Bacilli; Lactobacillales; Enterococcaceae.
UAUAAGUGCAGGUAGAAGUACACUGUACACUCGCGUCACUGAACUGAUUGUUGUUUAAGCGAUAUGUAAUAUCGUCAGCCGCGGGGACGCCGAAAGGCGUUUUUUUUUUUU